AAAUUUCCCAAAUACACCUUAACCCAGCUACUUGGGACUCCAAGGAUUCUCAAAUACCCUAGUUUGCUACAGCUGUCUUUCUCUCCUAAUACACCUUAACCCAGCUACUUGGGACUCCUCUCCACGCCUUCGAUGCCUUAACGGCGGGGAUGUACCGGAAGUUUCGCGCGCCGACCACGGAAUGGACCAGAUUUUUCCAGAGCGUCAAACCCUAACUGUCUGUCUUAAUUUUACCAAAAACUGUAGUCAUCUGAUAGUGCAAUCCCUUUUUCUAUUCUUCUGAUUUGUAUUUUUCCGGCUAGAUUUUGCGGCAUUUAACAGAUUUGAGAGUACAACUAUACAAUCGGAG
This 349-nucleotide long non-coding RNA is filed under the name Nicotiana tabacum (common tobacco). RNAcentral's name for it is "long non-coding RNA (NTAB_LNC004401)". Lineage: Eukaryota; Viridiplantae; Streptophyta; Magnoliopsida; Solanales; Solanaceae. The record is from RNAcentral.